GCCGGCGUAGCUCAAUUGGCAGAGCACUCGCCUUGUAAGCGAAAGGUUAGGGGUUCGAUUCCCCUCGCCGGCUCAA
This 76-nucleotide transfer RNA is filed under the name Lentzea albidocapillata. RNAcentral describes it as "tRNA_Thr_TGT". It matches the Rfam family "tRNA". Rfam says of the family: Transfer RNA (tRNA) molecules are approximately 80 nucleotides in length. Their secondary structure includes four short double-helical elements and three loops (D, anti-codon, and T loops). Lineage: Bacteria; Bacillati; Actinomycetota; Actinomycetes; Pseudonocardiales; Pseudonocardiaceae. RNAcentral also lists the same sequence under 3 other names. The record is from RNAcentral.